AGCUUAAAGUCUUAGAAAUUUUAAAAGAAAGUUAUAAAGUUGAAACUGAACAGGAUAUUGUAGACAAACUGAAAAUUAAGGCUGACGCUCAGGCUGUAUUUGAUGCGUACAUUGAUUGUUUACAUUAUGCCAAGACCGACCUAAAUGCCCCAAUUAGAUUUAGUAUUCCAAGGUCUUUAGUUGCUGAAUAUAUGGGUGAAAUGUCAAAAUUCAUUGAUCAUUUCUUCGUUGACCACCCAAAAAUUAAAGUUAAAGAUUAUGCUGAGUUAAAUACAAUACAAUUUGGGGAAGUUUUUAUGUACCUUUGCGAAAAACAAAAAAUACCCAUACAAGUAUGCGCAGAACAAAAGCGAAAUGAAAGGCAAGCAAGAAAAAGCCAAACACAAAAAAAACAGAAUAAAUAAUAAGACACCAGUCUCUUAUUAAGACAAAGAAGACAUUUUAUCUAAUUAAUAUAAUAAUAGGUUUAACUUUUUUUUUUUAAAUGUUUAACCAUUUUUAAAAAUAAAAAUGUUUUAAAAUACAACA
Long non-coding RNA from Adelges cooleyi (spruce gall adelgid), 528 nucleotides. RefSeq lists it as uncharacterized. Lineage: Eukaryota; Metazoa; Arthropoda; Insecta; Hemiptera; Adelgidae. The transcript has 3 exons. The record is from RefSeq and is a predicted model, not a curated record.